This 190-nucleotide unclassified non-coding RNA is filed under the name uncultured fungus. Its description in RNAcentral is "partial contains 5.8S rRNA and ITS2". The record is from RNAcentral. Lineage: Eukaryota; Fungi.
AACGCAACUGGCGCUGGCAAAACCAGCAUACUUGUUUCAGUGUGCGCAAACAAAUUAACAAUACAAAUGUGAGAGAAACUCUCUCAUGAAAUACAUGCUCCCAGCAGCAGUCACAUUAAUUUGUGAGCUCUUGGGUUGACUUACGCCUUAUUUGCACCUGAAAUCAAGUAAGAUGACCCGCUGGACUUAA